RNAcentral lists this ribosomal RNA (227 nucleotides) under uncultured bacterium. Its description in RNAcentral is "partial 16S ribosomal RNA". It matches the Rfam family "Bacterial small subunit ribosomal RNA", at positions 1274 to 1500 of the family's 1533-position model. The record is from RNAcentral.
UCCAAAAAACGUACUCAGUUCGGAUUGUAGGCUGCAACCCGCCUGCAUGAAGUCGGAAUUGCUAGUAAUCGUAGAUCAGCAUGCUACGGUGAAUACGUUCCCGGGCCUUGCACACACCGCCCGUCAAACCAUGAGAGUUGGCAACACCCGAAGCCUGUAGCUUAACCGCAAGGACGGCGCAGUCGAAGGUGGGGUCGAUGAUUAGGGUUAAGUCGUAACAAGGUAUC